CCAGCAGCCGUAGCGCGGUGGUCCCACCUGACCCCAUGCCGAACUCAGAAGUGAAACGCCGUAGCGCCGAUGGUAGUGUGGGGUCUCCCCAUGCGAGAGUAGGGAACUGCCAGGC
Molecule: ribosomal RNA, 115 nt
Filed under: Escherichia coli
Lineage: Bacteria; Pseudomonadati; Pseudomonadota; Gammaproteobacteria; Enterobacterales; Enterobacteriaceae
Source: RNAcentral